AGCUGAUUAUCAGAGAUAAGAGUUUCUUUAAAUAGAAGGACUCUUAUCAAUGAUACGUCGAUCAGCACCCUGCUCUGUGCGCGCGAUUAGAGAAGGAAUGCUUUCACAUCCCUUCUUAAAUCAAAAAAAUAUUUAAAAAUUCAUGUGGAUAGAGGAUUCAAUUCUAAUUCCAGAACGUAUAAUGAGUAGAUAAAAAUUUUCACAAAUGGAUGUGUUCUCAUGUCC
This 225-nucleotide long non-coding RNA is filed under the name Elaeis guineensis (African oil palm). Its description in RNAcentral is "long non-coding RNA (EGUI_LNC043768)". Lineage: Eukaryota; Viridiplantae; Streptophyta; Magnoliopsida; Arecales; Arecaceae. The record is from RNAcentral.